Molecule: transfer RNA, 85 nt
Filed under: Photobacterium damselae subsp. piscicida
Lineage: Bacteria; Pseudomonadati; Pseudomonadota; Gammaproteobacteria; Vibrionales; Vibrionaceae
Description: tRNA-Leu
Rfam family: tRNA
About the family: Transfer RNA (tRNA) molecules are approximately 80 nucleotides in length. Their secondary structure includes four short double-helical elements and three loops (D, anti-codon, and T loops).
Source: RNAcentral
GCCUUGGUGGUGGAAUUGGUAGACACAAGGGAUUUAAAAUCCUCGGCGUUCGCGCUGUGCCGGUUCAAGUCCGGCCCGGGCACCA